GAUGAACGCUGGCGGCGUGCCUAAUACAUGCAAGUCGAGCGAACGGACGAGAAGCUUGCUUCUCUGAUGUUAGCGGCGGACGGGUGAGUAACACGUGGAUAACCUACCUAUAAGACUGGGAUAACUUCGGGAAACCGGCGCUAAUACCGGAUGAUAUUUUGAACCGCAUGGUUCAAAAGAGAAAGACGGUGUUGCUGUCACUUAUAGAUGGAUCCGCGCUGCAUUAGCUAGUUGGUAAGGUAACGGCUUUCCAAGGCAACGAUGCGUAGCCGACCUGAGAGGGUGAUCGGCCACACUGGAACUUGGACACGGUCCAGAGUCCUACGGGAGGCAGCAGUAGGGAAUCUUCCGCAAUGGGCGAAAGCCUGACGGAGCAACGCCGCGUGAGUGAUGAAGGUCUUCGGAUCGUAAAACUCUGUUAUUAGGGAAGAACAUAUGUGUAAGUAACUGUGCACAUCUUGACGGUACCUAAUCAGAAAGCCACGGCUAACUACGUG
Molecule: ribosomal RNA, 497 nt
Filed under: uncultured bacterium
Lineage: Bacteria
Description: partial 16S ribosomal RNA
Rfam family: Bacterial small subunit ribosomal RNA
Source: RNAcentral